This 395-nucleotide ribosomal RNA is filed under the name uncultured bacterium. Its description in RNAcentral is "partial 16S ribosomal RNA". It matches the Rfam family "Bacterial small subunit ribosomal RNA", at positions 523 to 918 of the family's 1533-position model. The record is from RNAcentral.
AUACGUAGGGUGCAAGCGUUAAUCGGAAUUACUGGGCGUAAAGCGUGCGCAGGCGGUUUUGUAAGACACUGGUGAAAUCCCCGGGCUCAACCUGGGAAAUGACAUUGUGACUGAAAGGCUGGAGUGCGGCAGAGGGGGAUGGAAUUUCGCGUGUAGACGUGAAAUGCUUAGAUAUGCGGAGGAACACCGAUGGCGAAGGCAAGACCCUUGGCAUGGACUGACUCUCAUGCACGAAAGCUUGGGGAGCAAACAGGAUGAGAUUCUCUGGUAGUCCACGCCCUAAACGAUUUCAACUGGUUGUUGGGGAUUUAUUUUCUCAGUAACGAAGCUAACGCGUGAAGUUGACCGCCUGGGGAGUACGGCCGCGAGGUUAAAACUCAAAUGAAGUGGCGGGG